Molecule: ribosomal RNA, 501 nt
Filed under: Clostridioides difficile
Lineage: Bacteria; Bacillati; Bacillota; Clostridia; Peptostreptococcales; Peptostreptococcaceae
Description: bacterial LSU rRNA
Rfam family: Bacterial large subunit ribosomal RNA
Source: RNAcentral
GUAAUUCCGGUGAAGAUGCCGGAUACCUGCGACAGGACGGAAAGACCCCAUGGAGCUUUACUGUAGCUUGACAUUGGGUCUUGGUACUACAUGUACAGGAUAGGUGGGAGGCUUUGAAACCAGGACGCCAGUUUUGGCGGAGCCAUCCUUGGGAUACCACCCUUGUAGUACUGGGACUCUAACCAUAGGCCAUGAAUCUGGUCUUGGGACACUGUCAGGUGGGCAGUUUGACUGGGGCGGUCGCCUCCCAAAAGGUAACGGAGGCGCGCAAAGGUUCUCUCAGUACGGUCGGAAAUCGUACGUAGAGUGUAAAGGCAAAAGAGAGCUUGAUUGCAAGACAUACAGGGCGAGCAAGGAUGAAAAUCGGACUUAGUGAUCCGGUGGUUCUGCGUGGAAGGGCCAUCGCUCAACGGAUAAAAGCUACCCUGGGGAUAACAGGCUUAUCUCCCCCAAGAGUCCACAUCGACGGGGAGGUUUGGCACCUCGAUGUCGGCUCAUCAC